This 628-nucleotide ribosomal RNA is filed under the name Candidatus Planktothricoides niger OB. Its description in RNAcentral is "bacterial SSU rRNA". It matches the Rfam family "Bacterial small subunit ribosomal RNA", at positions 153 to 813 of the family's 1533-position model. RNAcentral also lists the same sequence under 1 other name. The record is from RNAcentral. Lineage: Bacteria; Bacillati; Cyanobacteriota; Cyanophyceae; Oscillatoriales; Oscillatoriaceae.
GAAACGGCUGCUAAUACCCAAUAUGCCUCGGGGUGAAAGAUUUAUCGCCAGAAGAUGAGCUCGCGGCCGAUUAGUUAGUUGGUGGGGUAAAAGCCUACCAAGACGGCGAUCGGUAGCUGGUCUGAGAGGAUGAGCAGCCACACUGGGACUGAGACACGGCCCAGACUCCUACGGGAGGCAGCAGUGGGGAAUUUUCCGCAAUGGGCGCAAGCCUGACGGAGCAAGACCGCGUGGGGGAGGAAGGCUCUUGGGUUGUAAACCCCUUUUCUCAAGGAAGAACACAAUGACGGUACUUGAGGAAUCAGCCUCGGCUAACUCCGUGCCAGCAGCCGCGGUAAUACGGAGGAGGCAAGCGUUAUCCGGAAUUAUUGGGCGUAAAGGGUCCGCAGGUGGUGGGGCAAGUCGGCGGUUAAAGACUGGGGCUUAACUCCAGAAAGGCCGUGGAAACUGCACCACUAGAGGGCAGUAGGGGUAGAGGGAAUUCCCGGUGUAGCGGUGAAAUGCGUAGAGAUCGGGAAGAACACCAGUGGCGAAAGCGCUCUACUGGACUGACCCUGACACUGAGGGACGAAAGCUAGGGGAGCGAAAGGGAUUAGAUACCCCUGUAGUCCUAGCCGUAAACGAUGGA